Molecule: long non-coding RNA, 964 nt
Organism: Homo sapiens (human)
Lineage: Eukaryota; Metazoa; Chordata; Mammalia; Primates; Hominidae
Source: Ensembl
GGGGGUCCGGAAGUGUUAGGAGCCUCGCGAAGGGUUGGUGUUCAUCUGCUUGCAGAGGAAAGCCAGAGACGGGGUCUUGCCACACUGUCCCAGCUGGUCUCUAACUUCUGGGCUCGAGCAAUCCUCCCACCUUGGCCCCACAAAGUGCAAAGAUUACAGACGUGAGCCACUGCACCUGGCCUAAUCCUUAAAACACAUCUGAGAGGUCCAUACCCCUGAACUUCUCAAAUAUUUCCAAUGCUCAUCACUGGGUCUUUUGCAUGGUCAAAAGGGUUGCAGGUGAUUCUUCUGUGUUGUAAAGUUGAAGAGCAGCUUAAUCCACACUUCCUUUUUGGUCUCACUUCUCCCCUUUGUUCCGGUCAAACCCUGACUGCUUCAAAAGGAAAACUGAGGUCUGACUCUGUGGCCCAGGCUGGAGCACAGUGGCAUGAUCACAGCUCACUGCGACCUCCACCUCCUGGGAUCCUCCCACCUCAGCCUCCAGAAUAGCUGAGACUACAGGCAUGCACCACCAUGUUUGGCUAAUUUUUAGGUUUUCUUUUUUUUUUAAGAGACAAAGUCUUACUAAAUUGCCUAGGCUUGUCUAGAACUCCCAGACUCAAGCAAGUCUCCUGCCUCAGUCUCCCAAAGUACUGAGAUUACAGUAUUUAUCCUGAUUGCCUACUCACUAGAGUUCUGGACCUGUUUUCCAAAGAAUUCCACAGUGGGGGCCACCUUGUACUGGCAGUUGAAAAACAGGAAAUAGACAGAGAUCAUCCAUUUCCCCUGAGUUCACUGAAACACUCCAGUAAGAAGAUUGAAAAUAGCAGACCGGGGCCGAGCGCAGUGGCUCAUGCCUGUAAUCCCAGCACUUUGGGAGGCCGAGGCAGGCUGAUCAUCUGAGGUCAGGAGUUCGAGACCAGCCUGGCCAACAUGGUGAAAUCCUGUCUCUACUAAAAAUACAUAAAAAUAAAUAUAUGUCACU